Molecule: long non-coding RNA, 101 nt
Organism: Thalassophryne amazonica
Lineage: Eukaryota; Metazoa; Chordata; Actinopteri; Batrachoidiformes; Batrachoididae
Exons: 3
Source: RefSeq, a predicted model, not a curated record
UCAGUUUUGUGAUCGGAUGGCUGCAUUUGCAGAGUUUGUGCACCUGCUCUCCAGACGCCGUGUCCAGAAACUUGGACUGCAGCUGAUGGCAGAAGGAUAAC